ACAAGGGAGAUGUCCGCCCCCAGUCGUAGCCUCGGACGGUUUCUGAGCGUUGGUGUUUGGCACGCGCCACCCUCUCUUGCUUUGGUUCCGCCAUGCCGAUGUACCAGGUAAAACCUUAUCACGGGCGCGGCGCGCCUCUCCGUGUGGAGCUUCCCACCUGCAUGUACCGGCUCUCUAACGUGCAAGGCAGGAGCGGCGGCCCAGCGCCCGGCGUUGGCCACCUACAGUCUUUGGUAGAUGAGUGGCUGGAUAGCUACAAGCAAGACCAGGAUGCAGGAUUUCUGGAGCUUGUUAACUUUUUCAUCUGAUCUUGUGGAUGUAAAGGCACUGUGAGCCCUGAGAUGUUCAAGAAGAUGUCCAACUCAGAGAUCAUCCAGCACCUAACAGAGCGUUUAAUGAGGACUCGGGGGACUAUCCUCUGACAGCUCCAGGUCUAUCCUGGAAGAAGUUCCAGGGCAGCUUCUGUGAGUUUGUGGGGACAUUGGUCUGUCGGUGCCAGUACAUCCUCCUCCAUGAUGACUUCCCUAUGGACAACCUCAUCUCCCUGCUCACUGGCUUCUCAGACUCACAAGUCUGCGCCUUCUGUCACACUAGCACCCUGGCUGCUAUGAAACUGAUGACCUCCCUGGUAAGAGUUGCCCUCCAACUGAGUCUGCACGAAGAUAUCAAUCAGCGUCAGUAUGAGGCUGAAAGAAACAAGGGGCCAGGGCAGAGGGCACCUGAGCGGCUGGAGAGCCUGUUGGAGAAACACAAAGAGCUGCAUUAAUACUACAUUGUCAAAGACAAAGACGAACAUGAGACAUGCGAUAUGAGUUUUAAAAGGAGAGAAGAGCAAAAAAACAAUACAGCUAUCCAAGGAGCAAGUGCUGAGCUUGUGAAAAAACAGCUUCUAUUUUAUUAAAUAAUAGUGUUCCUGCAGGGAUGUCUGAAGUACUCUGCAAGGCUAAUUAGGACAGAUCAAUGUACACUUACCUCUCCAGAAGGCUGAAAGAUACAGACUGAAAUGUUACCAGAUAAAAUGAUGUCAUGUCUGGGAUUCGCUUCAAAAUAAUUUGAGGUGGAAGUGGAAAGUGGAAACAACAAUUAUGAAACAACCUGGCCCAUGAGAUGAUAGCUGUGGAAGAGAAAACAUCUUGCUCUGUUGCUCAGGCUGGAGCGCAAUGGUGCCAUCGUAGCUUACUGUAACCUUGAACGUCUGUGCUCAAGCAAUCUUCCUGCCUCAGCCUCCUGAGUAGCUGGGACUACAGAGACAGGGUCUUGUUCUAUUGUCCAAGCUGGUCUUGAAUUCCUGACCUCAAGCAAUCCUCCUGCCUCUGCCUCCCAAAGCACUGGGAUUAUUACAGUAGAGACGAGGUUUCACUGUGUUAGCCAGGAUGGUCUUGAUCUCCUGACCUUGUGAUCCACCCGCCUCGG
This is a long non-coding RNA of Homo sapiens (human), 1413 nucleotides long. Ensembl annotates it as STAG3 cohesin complex component like 4 (pseudogene). Its record names the gene STAG3L4. NCBI's taxonomy places the organism in Eukaryota, Metazoa, Chordata, Mammalia, Primates, Hominidae. The record is from Ensembl.